Non-coding RNA from Kogia breviceps (pygmy sperm whale), 681 nucleotides. NCBI's taxonomy places the organism in Eukaryota, Metazoa, Chordata, Mammalia, Artiodactyla, Physeteridae. The record is from RefSeq and is a predicted model, not a curated record.
GGCACGUGGGCUCUAGAGCACAGGCUCAAUAGUUGUGGCGCACGGGCUUAGCUGCUCUGAGGCCUGUGGGAUCUUCCCGGACCAGAACUCGAACCCGUGUCCCCUACAUUGGCAGGUGGACUCCCAACUACUGCGCCACCAGGGAAGCCCUUCUUCUUUUAAAACGUAACCUUCAUGAGAAAUGGGGGCUUGUCUGCCACAUAGUGGGCACUCAGUAAUAAUUAAUGGAUGGAUUAAUAUCCUCAAAAUGCCGUGUGCAGCAUAGAUGUAGGCUGGGGCUUCAACAUUGCCUAUUGCUGCAAAGUGCUCUGGAAGUCUUAAUUUUUUGUAACGUAAAAAUGUUUUGUCAGAUCUAUGCCCUGAUGAUGUUAUGUAACGGUUGAUUUACAGUGAUUCUUGUUGCCUUUUAAACAUGUGGAAAUGGAUGACAAUGAAAACUGCUUGGAGUCUGAUCAUUGUGACUGUGGUGGUAAUGCCCAGCACAAAUAAGAGCCUAAAUGGGUAAAAAAGCAGAGAGUAUUUUAAAGGAGUCAGCGUUCCUUUACCUUUGUGAAACGGAGCUGAAGUUACACACAGUCCUCGUCGACUUUGCAACCUGCCCCUGACGGCGAGUUUCUCAAGAGAAGUACUGCGCUACAUGAUAUUGUACCAGUGUGGUGUACAUGGUGGCAGAAAUUCUUC